UCAUAGGGUAGCCUAGUGGACAUGGCAUCUGCCCGGUAAGCGGAACACUGUGGGUUCGGUUCCCAUCCCUGGAC
RNAcentral lists this transfer RNA (74 nucleotides) under Cordylochernes scorpioides. RNAcentral describes it as "tRNA-Thr". The stretch from base 5 to 70 matches the Rfam family "tRNA". From Rfam's summary of the family: Transfer RNA (tRNA) molecules are approximately 80 nucleotides in length. Their secondary structure includes four short double-helical elements and three loops (D, anti-codon, and T loops). The record is from RNAcentral. Lineage: Eukaryota; Metazoa; Arthropoda; Arachnida; Pseudoscorpiones; Chernetidae.